RNA transcript from Parasteatoda tepidariorum (common house spider), 771 nucleotides. RefSeq lists it as uncharacterized. The record is from RefSeq and is a predicted model, not a curated record. NCBI's taxonomy places the organism in Eukaryota, Metazoa, Arthropoda, Arachnida, Araneae, Theridiidae.
GAAAAGGGGGUGUGUUAAUGGACAGGUCACAACAGCAAAUGAUAGUCUUGACACUGUAACGGUCACUCUGUCCGUUGAUUUCAUCCAAUCUGAGGGGCCUUACCUUUGUCUACCAGGAACUAUAGAUAACCACACCAGGGGGUAAUCUUCCUUUUCUUAAAGCUUGCUCAAACUCAUAUUUAGUAUUAGUUGAACUUUAAAUUUUGCUUAAGGAGUUUUUCUCCAAGUUUCCUUGCUCUCCUUCGUUUCCUUCGUCUCUCCAUAAAAAUGAAUGAAGCUUAUGCCAAAACUUGUAAAAAGUCUGGUUAUGAAGUCGUUAAAUCAAGAGAUAUAUUUAAGCAACCGGAAACGUCUGAUGACGAAGUGAGUCUGAGUUUAAGCGAAGAAAGCUCUGUGCAAGCUUCUGCUCCAGCAAAUCCAGAUACUACCCGGUCAGAGGCAGGAGAAUCUACUACUGAAGUUGUACAGGCUCCUAUGGAAGAAACCGAACAAGUUGAACAGGCUGCAACAGUAGCUGAAACUAUAUCUACAGCUGUAGUAGAAACUAUUACCACAACAGUCCAAAACGCUAUUGAUCGUUGCAUUGUCCAGUGAUGACCAAUGGUUAAUUCCACUGUAACAGAUAUAACGUAAAAGGCUGAAGAAUCACUCGCCGAAUGAUUUGAUAUUUUUUAAUAGCCAGGAACUGGGAUGCAUGAAUUUUCCUUUCAUACAAAGCUGCAAUUUUGUAAAUAUUUUUUUAAGCUUAAAUAAAAUAAUUUUUGAUUUUAA